UUGGAGUGUAAACCCCGUUUCGACCGGGACGAAUACCUCGCAAGAGGGGUGACGGUACCGGUAUAAGAAGCCCCGGCUAACUACGUGCCAGCAGCCGCGGUAAGACGUAGGGGGCCAGCGUUGCUCGGAAUUACUGGGUGUAAAGGGUUCGUAGGCGGUGUGGCAAGUCGGGAGUGAAAUCUCUGGGCUCAACCCAGGGGCUGCUUCCGAAACUGCCGUGCUAGAGUGUGGGAGAGGCGCGUGGAAUUGCAGGUGUAGCGGUGAAAUGCGUAGUAUCUGCAGGAACACCCGUGGCGAAAGCGGCGCGCUGGACCACUACUGACGCUGAGGAAUGAAAGCUAGGGGAGCAAACAGCAUUAGAUACCCUGGUAGUCCUAGCCCUAAACGAUCAGGACUUGGGGUGCCACCCGUUCGGGUGUCGUCCCGGAGCUAACGCGUUAAGUCCUGCACCUGGGGAGUACGGUCGCAAGACUGACACU
This 479-nucleotide ribosomal RNA is filed under the name Acidobacteriota bacterium. RNAcentral's name for it is "bacterial SSU rRNA". It matches the Rfam family "Bacterial small subunit ribosomal RNA", at positions 418 to 901 of the family's 1533-position model. Lineage: Bacteria; Pseudomonadati; Acidobacteriota. The record is from RNAcentral.